UACGGGGGGAGCAAGCGUUGUUCGGAUUUACUGGGCGUAAAGGGCGGGUAGGCGGCCACCGCAAGUCAGUUGUGAAAUCUCCGGGCUUAACCCGGAAAGGUCAACUGAUACUGCGGGGCUAGAGUGCAGAAGGGGUAACUGGAAUUCUCGGUGUAGCGGUGAAAUGCGUAGAUAUCGAGAGGAACACCUGCGGCGAAGGCGGGUUGCUGGGCUGACACUGACGCUGAACUGCGAAAGCUAGGGGAGCGAACGGG
Molecule: ribosomal RNA, 254 nt
Filed under: uncultured bacterium
Lineage: Bacteria
Description: partial 16S ribosomal RNA
Rfam family: Bacterial small subunit ribosomal RNA
Source: RNAcentral